This 253-nucleotide ribosomal RNA is filed under the name uncultured bacterium. Its description in RNAcentral is "partial 16S ribosomal RNA". It matches the Rfam family "Bacterial small subunit ribosomal RNA", at positions 524 to 776 of the family's 1533-position model. The record is from RNAcentral.
UACAGAGGGUGCAAGCGUUGUUCGGAAUUACUGGGCGUAAAGGGCUCGUAGGCGGCCAACUAAGUCAGACGUGAAAUCCCUCAGCUUAACUGGGGAACUGCGUCUGAUACUGGAUGGCUUGGAUUUGGGAGAGGGAUGCGGAAUUCCAGGUGUGGCGGUGAAAUGCGUAGAUAUCUGGAGGAACACCGGUGGCGAAGGCGGCAUCCUGGACCAAUAUUGACGCUGAGGAGCGAAAGCCAGGGGAGCAAACGGG